AUAUAUUAAAAAGUCUUUAACAUUUUAAAAAGUUUACUAGUUAGUCUCUCUAUUAAUUUUAUCAAUUAAGUAUUGUAAAAUAAUUUAAAAUUUCUUGAUACGGAUGAACUAAUUAGUAAAUUUUUUAAAAAUUUGAGAGAUCAACUAAUAAAACUUGUAAAAUUAUAGGGACUGAGUAGUAAAAUACUUAACGGUAAAAUUAAUGAAUGGACUAAGUAGUAGAUUUUUUAAAACGUCAGGAACGUGAGAGACUAAUUAGUGAAUUUUCUCGUAUCAUAAGGAUUAAAUAGUAAUUUUUCUUUAUUCUUUUUAGACAUAUAAUUCAAGUAACACAAAUAUCAAAAUGUCACACUGUUCACCGAUGAUUAACAUGUUAUUGAUCAUUUAUAUUAAUGUAAACUUGCUUUUAAAAUGAUUAACAUGCUAUUCAGAAAUAAUCAUGUUUUUUAUGUUUAAAAACAAUACAAAUGAUCAACAGGACUAAAACACCAGUGUAUCUUAUUAUUAUGAUAAUAAAAGACAACAAUAUUAAAAUAAUAAAAAAAUAUAAAUUAUAUUGAAAUAAAUGGGAUAAAAUAAUAAAAUUAACUUCCAUGCAAGAAAUAAAAUAUUAUAUAUAUAUAAACAAAGAUUUUAGUUUAAUUUUUUCAUACAAUAGAUGUAAAUUAAUUACAAUUCAACACUAAAUAUCGACUAUGUUUAUAUAUUUUAUAGUAAAAAACUAUACAUUUAUAAAUAUCUUUCAUUGCACUUAGGUAAGACAAGCAAGACAAUAACAUAGUAAAGAUUAAUUAUUUUACGAAAUCACUAAAGUUAAAAAUUUUACAAAAUCUAUAGUAUAUAUUGUAACAUUCUCAGAUCCAUAAUUAGGAAUAGUAACAUCACUAGGUAUGAGUUAGGCUAUUUCACCAUUAGAGCAAGUGAAAUUAGAGAAGGUACUAUGAGUUAGACUAUUUCACUAUUAGAGCAAGUGGAAUUAGAGAAGGUACUAGCUCACCCUAAGCUACUUAGAGAAGGUGCUAGCAAACUACUAAUAACUGAAUCAUAGAAAACUCAAAUAAGAAAACGGACAUAUCGAGAAAUAAAGUAGACAGUGUGAUCAGCGAGUCGAAAAUGAGUUACUUUCGGGAGGUGCUUAGUGUUUCCUGACAUGCUCGCUUGAGAUGUUUGUUAAAAUCGGACAUACUUACCUAAGUGAAAUGGACUUCUAAAGGCUAAAGUAUAAUUUAGUAUGUCAAUCUAUAAAUAUUGGAAGUUUGAAAUUAAAUUGAAACAUGGUAAAGAGUUUAGUAUGUUAAAGUAUGAAUAUGGAAAGUUUAAAGGAAAAAUUCAAUUUUAGUCUUUCAUUUUUCCACCUCUUCACCUGAACCCUCCAUGUGUCAUCUAACUAAGCAUGAAAGAAAUGACCAAGAAAAUAAAAAAAGGGUUGUCUUCUUCCACCAUUCUUAUAGCCAAAGCUUAUGCUUGAAAACCAAAAUCUUUUUUUUUUUUCUUUCUUCCACCAAAUCCAAGCCAAUCUCUCACCAAAUCAACUUCUUUCUUUAACCAAAAUUUACCUAUGAUCAAAAGCUAAAGAAAGAGUCAUAUAUUGAAAAAAAAAUAAAGAAUAAAAGUUUAGGAUUCCAUAUGCACCAAGUUUGAAAAUCAAAAGUGAGCAUAGAAAUAUGUAUGAAAUAGUAUCUUCUCACUUCUUCAUACAUGAAUUUGAAUUAUAAAGCUUUAAUUUUCAAUUUAUUCAAUCCUUCCCUAAGAUAUAAAUUGACCUAGGUGAAGGAACAUUAAAGGGAAAGGAGAUAGCUAGAGAGAAGAAGUGAAAAAAAAAGAGAAAUUCAAGAAAGGUUUGGUGUUUAUAUGAUUUUCUAUUUUCAUUUGAUUUUCUCAUGAAUAUGUGAAAUUAGGGAUUGAUUUUACUUUUUAAAAAUAUUGCUUUGAUUUAUAAAUAUGUAAUAUGAAUGUUGAAAUAGCGUCUGAAAGGUUAAAAAAAAAGUGAUCUAACAUGGGAGUUAAAAGUGCAAACCUGACAGGAUAAAUUUUAACAGGGCAACAUGUAUUAGCAGCUUCAUAACUUAUUGUGUAGUUAUUAAAAUUAGGCCUAAAACAAACCAAAUAAAAGAUGAGACAAAGAGCAUUUGAAAGGUAAGAUGAAUAUGUGAAAUUAGGGAUUAAUUUUACUUUUUGAAAUAUUGUUUUGAUUUAUAAAUAUGUAAUAUGAAUGUUGAAAUAGCGUUUGAAAGGUUUAAAGAAAAGUAAUCUAAUAUGGGAGUUAAAAGUGUAAACCUAAUAGGAUAGAUUUUAACAGGGCAACAUGUAUUAGCAGCUUCAUAACUUAUUAUGUAGUUAUUAAAAUUAGGCCUGAAAUAAACCAAAUAAAAGCUGAGACAAAGAGAUAAAACUUUUAUGAAUUAACCAAAUUCUUAAUCUGUAGGUAAGAUGAUGUAAAUUGCAAGUAAACUUAAACCGGACACAGUGAUAGAGCAUGCGGAACAGAUUAUAUUGAUUAUACCAUAACUAAUUUUAUACUUAAUAAAAUUAGUUAAAACCAGUGCCAAAUGAAUCUUAAGAAAUAUACCUAAAACUUUAUAGAAGACACUUGAGAUUGAAUUUGUAUGAAAAUAUAUGCAUUUGAUAUAUUUUGUGAUACUAUAAAAAGUAUCAAUACUAGACUGAUUACGACCUUAUUGAGCAGCUUAUAAAAAAGAAAUUCAUAACUUAAGCUUGGGUGAUCAAAUUUGCAUAAAUUAUACUUGUUGGAAAGAUAAGACAUAAAUGCACAAUUGUUUUGAAGAAACUUAAAUCAAAUUGUAACUUUAAAGUGCUUGAAAAGUUGAUGCAAAAUAUGACAGAAUGCAGCCAUCUUGAAUUGGAAUGCAUAAAAAUUGAUAUUCUUGCUUAAUUAUUAAGAAUUACGCACGUGCUUGCUUAUCGUACGUGAUUUUUGCACGUGCUUACCUAAUAAUAAAACUUGUUUGUGCAUGAUAAUUUGAGUAAACUUACCAUUCUUUACUUGUUAGUGGUAUGAAAUGCAAGAAGUGAAUUGACUUGACGCAAUAUUGGAAUGCUAAGUCAACAAAGUUUUACACUAUGUGCCAUGAGUUUCUCAUCUUGUUAAUCUUGGGAUAUGAUAUAUGUAUUUUGAAAAUGAUUUUAAACACUUAAAAUGACGUGUAUUUACAUGAAAAAAAAUUAAUACAUUAAAUCAAUUAUACUUGACUCUAGUAAACUUAACAGGAGAUGAGGUUAGCUUAAGGGUAUGACAUGCCAUAUAAACAUACAAAGUGCACAGUACUGCUAUCGAUACAUGAUCUAUAUUUGAGGUUACAUAUCAAGUACCUCAUAAGCAUAGCCAUAAAACCAUACUAUCAUAGUUUUAACCUUUGAGCCUACCGUUGAGCACCCUAUGCCCACCGUUAUAACUCCUUAUCUAAUUAGUCGACCUUACUAUAUGUUUAUAAGGGCUGAGAACCUAAUGAAGAUUGAUGCUUGAUUUUUGUGAAAUUAUUAGUGAAUGUUAACAUGUUUGUAUCUAUUACAUACACGAAACUAUGGUAAUUUACUAUGUAUAUAAAAUGUGUAAUAGUGGCAAAAGAAGAUGUUUUAUUGAAUCUUAAAGAAAUUCUUGGCGUGCAUAAGGAUAUAUAUCGCACUCCUAUCUUAUACCAAGAAGUUUGACAAGUAUUCUUUCUAUCAUGUUAACUACACUUUACAUGCUUAUAAUUGUUUACUUAAUUAUCUAUAUACAUUAAUAUACUUGCUCUAUUUCAUUAUUUGUUUGCAAUCACCCACUGAGCAUUAACUUAGCGUAUUGGUGUUUACCUCACAUAAGUUGCAGAUAAAGUAAUCACCGCUGAGAUCGUCAGAGAUCAACAUCAAACAUUAAGACUUUAUCAUAACUGGUUGUUUGAGUCUCCGAGUCAUUGUACAGUUUUAUUUUUCCAUGUAUAUAUUAAAUAAAAUGGGUUAUGAAGGUUAUGUAAAUUAAAAUAAUGUAAUCAUGUAUGGAUAAAAAAAAAGAGUAAAUGUUUGCAUGUGAUGAUAUUCAUGGAAAAAUAAGGGAUGAUAUUGUUAUGAAAUAUGUGCUAAAUUAAGGAAUAAUAUGAUAGUAAAUGACAGUUGAGAGUAUAAUUAUAAAUGUAUUUUUCAUAUGUACUACAGAUUGAAAUGCUGAUAAAACAGAGGAAACUCUAUCAAAAUUUAGUUUAAAAUCUCACAUUUACCUUACUUACUUUAUGAAAUUUACAUGGAUUAUCUAAUAACUUGAUAAUUACACAUAAAAGAAAUUGUUUAGUUUUGAAAUAUCUAAGAAAGUAUAAUUUGUGAUGAUUUUUGCUCUAUCUACGCCUUGUUAAGGUAAGGGGUUUUACGUAUAUAAUAUUAUAAAUAACUAAUCUUAUCGAAUAUAAAAUAAUAUUUUUAUCGAAAAUAAAAUUAAUGUGAAAAUAUUAAAGUACAAAUAAUCUUUUAAGAAUAAUAUUGAAAGUUAAGAAAUAUUAUAUACAUAUCUUUUUACAAACACAAUAACAAAUAAAUUAAAUUAGUUUUAACUAAUUAAAAAUUAAUAAUUCAAUAAACCAAAAUAAUAAUACUAGAAAUUAAAUAUCUUAAAAAUUUAAUUUAACAAAUAAAUUAUUAGGCGCUAAAGAUCAUUAUUAACAUAAAUUUCAUAAUUAGAAGUGAUAAAUAUUUUCCUCUUCCUGGUCCAUGAUAGAUCUGGUUUUCCUCUGGGUCCUUUCUUGUUGGGCUCCCUGAUGGGUCUCUCCAUGUUCUACCUGGUGAAAGGACCUGUAAAUAAGAAAGAAUGGUCAGGGGCCUACCGGGUGUGCCCCGGCAGAGGCCCUCCGACGCUCAAGUCAGAUUUUAUGGCUCAGAGUAGUAUAUUUAGGCAAGGGUUACAGUAAGAAUAAAAAUGGUGUCCAGGAAGGAGAAGGAAGAAGAAGAGAGUCCCCUCUGCGUGGCCUCUAC
This 4959-nucleotide long non-coding RNA is filed under the name Manihot esculenta (cassava). RNAcentral describes it as "long non-coding RNA (MESC_LNC002410)". Lineage: Eukaryota; Viridiplantae; Streptophyta; Magnoliopsida; Malpighiales; Euphorbiaceae. The record is from RNAcentral.